CCCCAGGCUUAGAGACGUGAACGGACUCGCCCCAUGUCCCCGAAGCCAGAGAGGGGCGGAGCAAAGGUUUCAAAUCAGUUUCCCGGGGACCAAAGACUUCCUGGUAGGAACAAAUGCGAAGGGAGAGUAACCACUCCGGCCCAUUCUCUCCCCUCUGCUUCAGGCUCCUGGAAGACUUGCUUUGUUGAUUUCCUUAGUUUCGGUUCUGUGUCAGAGUCCAUGUUCACAGAAAUGUGAAACAAGGAGAGGAAUACCUACUUCCUAGGGUGGUGCCGAGAGCGGAGUGUUUAGAAAGAACACGAACAGUGCCCAGUGUGACAGGAGUUCAAGAAAGUCGUAUUCCUUCCCUUUUACCUUGAUUGCACUGCCUGGUGAGCUCAGCGGAGGUUUAGGGAUGAGAAGUGAGUGGCACAGGGCUCCGAUCGGUCAGCGCCUCCAACUCAGGAACUGCCUGCAAAGUCCAGCCUCCGUCUGCAGGCACGAGCCGCACCGUUAUUUAGUGGAGACCAGACCAAGAUGCAUGAUCUCACUGGAAAAGCACCCACUCGGAGAAUCUCACCUCCCCCUCUCCCAAGCUGCACCGACUCCUGGGGAAUCCGGAGGGAGAGGGCUUGGCCAGGCUGACUAUAUAUAGCAAGGGGACAUUAGCUGGAAUCUUCUGUGUAGGAAAGUGUAAUUUUCUUUCUGCUCUUCUCAAUUACAAAAUAACAAGACUGCUAAAAAUCCAAUAGUAUGGAUGUCAAUAUUGGCGGGGACAGCCACAGGAAACUUAAUUGCACAAUGGGUACCAGUUGAAGACGGUAGGUGCUCUUUCUCGGCUUUUCUUAAUUCUAAUUAGGAAUUUACUGAUCUUACAGACUCACACACAGAGGCUUGUCACCAGGCCAGGAAUGGGUCCCAACAACGUUGGCUUCCUUUUCUGAGUCCCUGGCCUUUCCUUCGCCCCAAACGUCGUCUCCGAUUGGGGCUUGUAGCUGGUUGCGAACAUCAGCUCUCCAGUUUCUUUGCCGUGUCAGAGGACCAGAUGUUUUUUAUUUGAGAGCAAAUUGACACAUUAAAUUACACUGUGCAAACAUUAAAGCCAGCCGCGGGUAAACAGGCCGAGAUUCAUUGAAUUUUACGGGUCACAAUAAUGUUUAUGUAAUUUAACAAAUUCCUGCCCCGCUGCUGAGGCUCUCCCAGAAGUAUUAAUUUAAGAAAGAUGCGACCUGCCCAGAAGCUCCCCAUCGCCCUCCACCCCCCACCUCUGCCU
RNAcentral lists this long non-coding RNA (1252 nucleotides) under Felis catus (domestic cat). Its description in RNAcentral is "lncRNA (ENSFCAG00000043772.1)". The record is from RNAcentral. Lineage: Eukaryota; Metazoa; Chordata; Mammalia; Carnivora; Felidae.